GAUUCAUUUUCCUGUAUUAUCAAUUUUCUAUGUUAGCCUCAAACGACAUUCACAAUGGGAAGAAAACAAUAAAUAUUUUGAAAAAGAGAAGAUUGGUGACAAAUAAAUGGACAUGUAUUCAUGACAAAAUAAAAAUCUUACUUAAAAUGUCCCCGAGGGUUCAGUUUUGCUGAAGUCUUAGAAGAGCUUAUCCAUGAACCAGAGCUGGAGUGUCUUGCUGGCAGCUCACCCGUGUAAGCAGGACACAAGCAGAACGGGGCAGUCAGAGCCAGGCAGCUUACCCAGAAACCAAGUCGUCUAGAAUGCAACCAAGCACGACAGUCCCUGCCAUGGUCAAUUGAUUGUGUCAACUUGAGAAGAGAAGCUCAACUAAAUUGGCUCAGCAAUUCCACACCCUAGGGAAGACUCACCCUCAGGGGUUUGUCACCUGGGUGGUACAAAAAUGAAGAAGGAGGGAUCUGCUUCUGUUUCUUCAGAGCAGCUCCAGUCUUUGCCUUCAUCUUGAACGUCAUCUUCUGGCCGCCAGCGCAGACCCUUCACCCUUCCAUGCAGACCCAUCGGCCCCCUGAUAAGGACACGCAGGGGACUCUGCAGUGAGCUCCAGAACUUCGACUGAAUCCCUUGCUCUCCAGUGUGCAGAUGCACCUUCUGGACUCUUCCACAUCCGACUCUGUGGGCGGCCAUUGCCAGACCAGACUAUUUGCACAACUCAUCAACUGAUCGCCAGACCCCGUUUUUAAUCAACAAAGCUCUCUUGGCCAGUAUUAGAAGCCAGAACAUCUACAAUCAGAACAUCUUAACCAAUGUCAGACGCCAGCCAUCCUCCGCCCCAUGGAACCCGGGUGUGGGUGAGCACUAGGCCCGUGCUCAGCUGCAUGCAUUAAUGGUAGACAGCAUGUGGGUGUAUGUACAUACUGUGAAAUGACCCAAGAUCUCACUAAAGGGACGCAGAUCUCCAGAAUCGAUUCAUCCCACAUAUUGGAAACUUUGUACCUUCUGACCAACGACUCCUAUCCCCCCACACCCAGGAUUCUACCCUUGUAUCCUGAAUCUGACUUGUGAGAAUUGCUACCGUGGUUUUUCAUUUAACCUUUCAAAGCUCCAAACGUUAGAGAGACUCUGUCAAAAUAAAAUCUCAGGGAACCA
This is a long non-coding RNA of Heterocephalus glaber (naked mole-rat), 1146 nucleotides long. RefSeq lists it as uncharacterized. Lineage: Eukaryota; Metazoa; Chordata; Mammalia; Rodentia; Bathyergidae. The record is from RefSeq and is a predicted model, not a curated record.